GCGUUUUCAUUCCGUGUCACGAAUUUUUUAUACAUCCGAGUGGAUUUCGGUUGGGCAGUUAAUUGGCACAUGUGUGUGAGAGGCGAAGCCCAGCUGCCCAAGGCCGGCCGGCGCAUGUCUGCUCUGAACCCAACUCGUCACAACCGAACUAGUUGGGAGUCCUUUUGUAAGGGAAUUAUUUUGUCAUCAAAGUCUCUUCAAAACUUUCAUCGUCGUCGUCAUAUCGGAUGCUGUAUAAGUGUACAUUGCCAUAAGAAAUCACCAGCGCCACGCUGUCAUAAAAAAAAAGAAUUUUUGAAUUUGCGCGUUUUCACUCGGCGUGGCGAUUUUCUUAUAUAAAUCCAAGGGAUUUUAGCUGGUUGGUAGGGCAGGCUGAAGCAGAAACCCGGUGGUAUCCUGGUCCGGCCAUAUCUGCUAGACAGUAGACACCAUACGCAUACGGCUGCGGAAUCAUUUUUCUAAUCCCCAUGUGGGGGAUUACAAGUGUUAGGUGCCCAUCAAUGACCCUGAUGCCGACGCCGCUAGUCUCUCUCUCCCACUCUCGUGCAUGCACACACGCAGCUGAAGCUGAACAACACCCCCCAUAAACGGCAUGAUGAUUAGGGUGGCCCCGGCCUGUCAUUGUCUCCGGCACUAGCAGUCGCCGCUGCUGCCGCUGGCACGUCCUGUAGUAGUCCACCGCGCGUGGAAGAGACGGGAUGAUGCCGCUGCAGGGGCCGAACGAAAUGCCUCCUCAGAAGGGCAAGCAAAACGCGGCGGCGUGUCUGAAGCGUCAAGAUGACAGGGAAACCCCAUGCUCGAUGCCUCGAUCGGUCGGUCGGUCGGUCGGUCGGUAAACGGAGUGAUCUGCAGAAAUCUCGAGAGACAUUUCAUUUGAGGUGAUAAUGAUGCCAGCCAUCGAGUGUUACGACAAUAUCAAAGCAAUAAUGCCGAACAAAUAAAGGUGGAAGUAAUUGUUAGAAAUCUUCAGAAGAAAGUUAGCUAGCUCUUGCCUCUUCUGAUCUGAUCAGACGUGGAAUGCGCCAAGCCUGCUGCGCUACGAGACACAUUCCUGGAGGCACCAAGGGAAGG
This 1071-nucleotide long non-coding RNA is filed under the name Setaria italica (foxtail millet). RNAcentral's name for it is "long non-coding RNA (SITA_LNC004141)". The record is from RNAcentral. Lineage: Eukaryota; Viridiplantae; Streptophyta; Magnoliopsida; Poales; Poaceae.